GAUGAACGCUGGCGGCGUGCCUAAUACAUGCAAGUCGAACGCUGAAGCUUGGUGCUUGCACCGAGCGGAUGAGUUGCGAACGGGUGAGUAACGCGUAGGUAACCUGCCUCUUAGCGGGGGAUAACUAUUGGAAACGAUAGCUAAUACCGCAUAAAAGUCGACAUCGCAUGAUGUUGACUUGAAAGGUGCAAUUGCAUCACUAAGAGAUGGACCUGCGUUGUAUUAGCUAGUUGGUGAGGUAACGGCUCACCAAGGCGACGAUACAUAGCCGACCUGAGAGGGUGAUCGGCCACACUGGGACUGAGACACGGCCCAGACUCCUACGGGAGGCAGCAGUAGGGAAUCUUCGGCAAUGGGGGCAACCCUGACCGAGCAACGCCGCGGGAGUGAAGAAGGUUUUCGGAUCGUAAAGCUCUGUUGUAAGAGAAGAACGAGUGUGAGAGUGGAAAGUUCACACUGUGACGGUAACUUACCAGAAAGGGACGGCUAACUACGUG
RNAcentral lists this ribosomal RNA (497 nucleotides) under uncultured bacterium. RNAcentral's name for it is "partial 16S ribosomal RNA". It matches the Rfam family "Bacterial small subunit ribosomal RNA", at positions 28 to 507 of the family's 1533-position model. The record is from RNAcentral.